CUUUAAGACUGGAAGGAGGAAGAGGGCCCGCCUGAGCUGGGAGACUGAAAAUUUUCAUGACAAGAGUGGCUUUUCACCUUUCAUUCUUGGAAUUGUGACUGAAGUUACACAAAGAUUAAGCAAGUUUUUAAUCCAAAGCGUAAGUAAAACUGGUUUUUGUGAGGGAGGUGGAAACUGGCUGAGAGGUGUUCUUUGACCACAGAUAUAGUAUUAGGAAUUUAUGGUGGGCUCCAAGUAGCUACAGUGACUGGUCAAAAUGAUGAACAAAGUUACUUGUAAGCCACGAUUGUGAGUCCCUAUCUUGAAAGCCUGGUAUGCUGAAUUAUGUACUUCCUUUCUCGGUCACCAUUAACUGAGCCCUCUCUCUUGGGGAUUUUUCUGAGGAAACUUAAAAAUCAUUACUCAUUGAGGUCUGGAGGAAUAGCCUGAUCUCUUCGGUUUAGAAUGUUGAGGUUUCAACUGGCUUGGGGGCUAGAAAGCUCUACUCCCAGGCAGGAUAAUUUGUUGAGUUAUUUGUCUUUGUUUCCUUUAUACUUUACUCAACAUUCCAAGCAGGUGGCCAAGUCUUUCUCCUUCCUUGUUGCAGAACCCAAAGAAGUAGUUGGCAGAGCACCUCCCUUCCUGCCAUUUUCCCCCUUGGCCUCAAGGGAUUUGAGCAUAACGUGCUAGGGAAAGGAGUAAAGUCUUUGAUAAUGAGAGCUAAGAUUGUUCCUGAAAGGGAGAAAUGGAUAUCCUUACUUUUUGUAAAUAAUGGGGCUCUGUCAUCCACCCUCCUUAGAACCUCAGAAAGAUGACAGAACUGCUCAGGAUGAUGACUGCAUGUGGAGCUAGGAAGGUCUUCCUGGAUUUUUGAGUUCUUGGCUUUCAGCUCUGACAAUGGCAUUGAAUGCACAAUGCCGUGAAUGUCCUAUGUGUCACUAAGGCUGAAGAAAAUCUAGGGUUCAUCCUAGAAAAGGAACCACUUCUGAACCAAGCCACCUUGGACAGGGAUACAUUCAAGGUCAGCAUGAUGAAUAGGAAUCAGCACAGCAUAGUUGGAAGAUCAUGAGCCUCGGAAUCAGCAAUGGAUUCAAAUUUCACAUCUCACAACAAACUCUAGUUUCUCAUCUUUACUGGGACAAAAAUAAAAAUAUUGAAUUCAGAGUCCUUUUUGAGGCAUACAUGCAACAAAGGGAAAGGACUCCAUAUAGUACGGUGCUAAGGGUACACAGGGUGGGAUACGUGUGACAAGUUAUGAGGAAUGUGGCAUUUAGUUGGAACAGGAGAAGGAGGGUGCCUUCCUCCUGCUCACUGAGUAAAGCAGAAAAGUUUCAGGACUCUGCUUUCCCCUCCUCUCUUCCAAAGUUGCUGCCCAGCCCCUCCUUGGCACAGUUGCUCUGUAGGCUUUGCCCUGAUAUUGCCCCAGCUCCCUGCUCCAAGGUAGAGGGUAGGAGGGGCCUGGCUUAUGUAAAUGAGGCCCAGACUUGGGAGACAUGCUGAAACAUAAAGUUUUUUUGGGGUACAACUAAUAUCCUGAAUCUGGUCCUUUCCCACCAAAGGGCUGGCUUUCCUUAAACGGCUUUGAUCUCUCCUUUCUAUAUUCGCCUCUACACACAUCCAUUCCUAACCCUGAGCUUCUAGAAAGUCUGUGGAUGGGUCCAGCCCCUCCAGGGGCAGCCUUAGUUCGUCCACAACAUUUUGGGAUGUGGUUGUCUCAAAAAUGCCCACUGGAGCAGCAGUGGGGUGAGGCAACACACUAUUCAUUGCUUUCACUUACUAACCUGAACACAAGAAAGUCAGUUUAGGGUUAGAUCACUGGUUCUCCCUCUCCUUCCUUCUGCAUCAGCCACUUGCACAACUAUCCCCAGAAUCAUAAUAUCAGCUGGCAUACAUUAAGUGAACAAUGGGUUUGUAGUCAACCACAAAUCAAACCCAGGGGAUUUAACUUUAUAUUCUAGGCUUUCAGCAUUGCACUAAACCAGAAUAGAGUGCACAAAAAGAUUUUUUUUUUUGUUAGUACCAGGGAUCGAACUCAGGACCUUGGACUUGCGAGACAGGCGUGGUGCCACUGAGCUAAAUCCCUGGCUUCUGGUUUUUUGCUGUUGUUGUUGUUCUGGGGAUCGAACUUGGGACCUUCCACCAUCACUGAGCUAAAUCCCCAGCCCCGCACAAAAAGAUUUUUAAUGAAAUGUAAAGGUCUGAAUUUUAUGUCAUGAUGCCAAUAUCAAUAGUUACUGGGAUUCAAUCAGUAUCUUUUGAAUGAAACUUGUUAUUUUUACAUUCUAUAAUCAGAGUUUGUAUUGGCACAACCAUCUUUGGAAAAUGUAAUUUGCCCCAAACUAUUGGAAGAUGUUAUAAAAAUUAGACUUUUGUAUAAAAUAUUAGAAUUUAUUCUACCAAUGAAAAGAAAGUAAAAUGUACUCACAAAAUUUCCUUCUUAUUUUGGGUUCCACUUGCAUCUUCAAAGCACCACCUAUCUUAAGGAUUGGUGUGGCCUCCAAGUUACAUUGUUUAUAUGUAGAGAAAUCAAAAAGAUUAUGUGAAUAACUUAGGCUUUCAAAGUUGCAUUUUCUCAUAGAUGAAGGAUGUAUUCUAAACUUGAACCUGAUAUUGAAAAACCCAGAGAAGGAGAAAACUGAUUUUGAUUUAAGAUUCAGAGAGAGAGGCAAAAAUCCCUUUGAGUAUCCCUAUGUUUGAGUGGGGUAGCACAAUGAAUAAGUGCAACUGUGUAGUUGUUCCUACACUGUCCUAGAGCCUUUCAGGCCUGACCUUCCUGAAUAUGACUGUCACCAUUUCCCAGCUAUUACUGCAUGGAAGCCUAACAAGAGCACUAUUGGUGAUACCCAUGUGCAACCUACAAACUCUUCUUUUGGCACAGGCUAUGCUGUGACAUGGAACAGAGGUAGGGUGGGCACUGCCAAAUUCCUUCUCCUCACUAAGAUGAGUACAACUGAACACAUAUCCUUGCCCUGUUUACUGGAGAAACAGGGUGGUCACAAAUACUGAAAAAUGAAACUUACACUAUCAGAAAAAAAAUCAGUUCUAAACCACAAAAAUAAUGAAAGUAAAUUUGAAAGCAUGAUAUAGCAUAGUUGAAAGGAGAAUAUUAUGAUUAUUGAGCAUUUUCCACAGUGUACAUUACUUAAUUUCAUAAUAAAUUCUGUAAACUGGGUGUUAGUAUUAUCUUUAUUUUUUGGAUGGGAAAACUGAGGCUUUGAAAAUUGAAAUAAUUUGUCCACAGCACAUAUCUGUCAGUGGUGAAGUUGGAAUUAAAAUCAAGUCUAACUCUAAAAUCACAAUUUUACCUGCUAAGCAAUACUUCUAGGCCCUCUAAGCCUGCUGUUUGUUACUCUUCUGAAGUCUGGUUGAGUUAUUAUCACCCAACUAGUCACACAAACUCAGAAAUCAUUGUUGACAAGGUCUUCUUCAUCUCUCUCACAUCCACUCUUAAUUUCACAUUCAGGAAGGCUCUGCCACAUGCCAGGUAGUACAGAUAUGAUGGCAAAAAAGAUGGUAAAGAUUCCUGCCCAAGGUAAGCAAGUCAGAGUCUUCUCUGGUGUUCUAAAAUUUGGAAUCAGACAAAACACAUAUCACUGUCCUGGUCUGAAGCAGGGAGAUGCUAGGCCAGUAAGCCUGGUGCAGCUGUUUCUUGUUGUAUGGAGAAAUUCAGAGAGAAGUAAGGGGACACUCAGAAAGAAUCACAAUGACAGGUGGAGAGAGGAGCCCGGCAGUAGGGUCCAUGAUUCUGUUUUCAGCUGUUCCUAGGCCAGUUGCACCCUCCUCUCACCACAGCUAUGUGAGCUUUUGAUAAUUUCCACUUCCUGUUUAAAAUGGUGAGAGUUGUAUUUCAGUCACCUGCAACCCAACCUCUGUUGAGUGAUACAAACCACAACAAAAAGGCAUUUGCUAUCUCACCCUAGGAUAACCUAUUUUUACAUGGUGGAACAUAUUCUCAUAGGAGGAUUUCUGAGAGUACUUGCCCUGCUGACGAAAUCUCUCAUUCCAGCCCUGGCCAUCAAUUCACAGGGAAUGACCUAAUCUGCCACCCCAGUACUCCUCGGCCGACCUGCCUGGCCAUAGUUUACUCAUCCACUUCUGGCUCAUGUUGAGCCAAUCAGAAACCCUGUUCAUAGAAUUUUACGUUCAGACUACAAUUUUAUGUGUAGACACAAUUUUAUGUUUAGACUAUUUUUGUUUGGUCUACAUGGGAACAAUUUCAUCAGGGUGGUAUAGGAAAAAGUUCUGCAGAUCCUGGCUUUUCUUUUCUUUUUUCUUUUCUUUUCUUUUCUUCUUUUCUUCUUUUUUCUGUACUGGAGGCUGAACCCAGGGUCUCACCCAUGCUUCCACUCAGGCAAGCACUCUACCACUGAGCUAUAUCCCUAGCCCUCAACUGUAUCUUCAAAGUACAACUCUUCCUUCAAUUUCUUGAGCUGCUUUAGCCUUUUUAAGCAAAUUUAUUCAAUCCUUUUUUUCUCCCUUGAGGUGGCCCAGGUCGAAAUUAGUUUCUUGGAAAGAAAACAAUUUUACUGCCUUUUAAUUCUUCCAGAUUUUAUUUUUAUUUUUUCUUUUUCAAAUCUUUAUUUAAAAAAUUCCUUUGAGGGCCAGGGAUUUAGCUCAGUGGUUCCAGUGGUUGCCUUGCAAGUGCAAGGACCCGAGUUUGAUCCCUGGUACCAAUUAAAAAAAAAUUCCUUUGUUACAAGUUUAAAUUCAAAGUAAUACAAGAGGAUAUUAAUAAAGAAAAUAUUUUUUAAAAAUAGCCUUUUAUGAAAAAUAAAGCAAAAAUUCAUAAUAAAUAAUUUUAAAAUAACAUUAGUUAAUAUACUGUGUGCCAUAAUCUUAAAAGAAUGGCCAAAAUGUUAGAGUACAAGUCAUAGGCAAAAGAAACUCUUACAAAAAAGAUGCCGGAGAGUUAGCUCAGUGGUUCCACCACCUGCUUUGCAAGUGCAAGGACCUGAGUUUGAUCUCCGGUACAAAAAAAAAAAAAAAAAAAAAAAAAAGGAACAAAUAGACAAUAGCAAUGACCUAAGAGGACCUACCAGUAUAAAUGAAACAAAUUAGCAUAUAUAUUGAAAUAUUUUUGAAACCACAGAAUAUAUAAUUUGGGGAAUUAUUAGAACUUCCAGAUUUUAACUUCUUUUAAUUCUUCUAGAUUUUUCUUUAAGUGUAUGUGCAAAUAUAACACAUAAUGUAAUAAUAUAUGUUAUAGAAUUGUAUUCUAUAAGCUGUUUUGUAAUAUAAG
This 5218-nucleotide long non-coding RNA is filed under the name Heterocephalus glaber (naked mole-rat). Its description in RNAcentral is "lncRNA (ENSHGLG00100045826.1)". The record is from RNAcentral. Lineage: Eukaryota; Metazoa; Chordata; Mammalia; Rodentia; Bathyergidae.